UGAGCAUAUAGCUCAGUGGUAGAGCACUUACCUCCCAUGUGCAAGGCCCUGGGUUCAAUUCCCAGUAUUAA
This 71-nucleotide transfer RNA is filed under the name Marmota monax (woodchuck). Its description in RNAcentral is "tRNA.Gly". The stretch from base 6 to 68 matches the Rfam family "tRNA", at positions 5 to 66 of the family's 71-position model. Rfam says of the family: Transfer RNA (tRNA) molecules are approximately 80 nucleotides in length. Their secondary structure includes four short double-helical elements and three loops (D, anti-codon, and T loops). Further hydrogen bonds mediate the characteristic L-shaped molecular structure. tRNAs have two regions of fundamental functional importance: the anti-codon, which is responsible for specific mRNA codon recognition, and the 3' end, to which the tRNAs corresponding amino acid is attached (by aminoacyl-tRNA synthetases). tRNAs cope with the degeneracy of the genetic code in two manners: having more than one tRNA (with a specific anti-codon) for a particular amino acid; and 'wobble' base-pairing, i.e. permitting non-standard base-pairing at the 3rd anti-codon position. The record is from RNAcentral. Lineage: Eukaryota; Metazoa; Chordata; Mammalia; Rodentia; Sciuridae.